This 301-nucleotide ribosomal RNA is filed under the name uncultured bacterium. RNAcentral's name for it is "partial 16S ribosomal RNA". It matches the Rfam family "Bacterial small subunit ribosomal RNA", at positions 509 to 807 of the family's 1533-position model. The record is from RNAcentral.
CAGCCGCCGCGGGAAUACGUAGGGUGCGAGCGUUAAUCGGAAUUACUGGGCGUAAAGCGUGCGCAGGCGGUUGUGUAAGACAGGUGUGAAAUCCCCUGGCUUAACCUGGGAACUGCGCUUGUGACUGCACAGCUAGAGUAUGGCAGAGGGGGGUGGAAUUCCACGUGUAGCAGUGAAAUGCGUAGAGAUGUGGAGGAACACCGAUGGCGAAGGCAGCCCCCUGGGCCAAUACUGACGCUCAUGCACGAAAGCGUGGGGAGCGAACAGGAUUAGAUACCCCAGUAGUCCCUGUCUCUUAUAC